Molecule: ribosomal RNA, 251 nt
Filed under: uncultured bacterium
Lineage: Bacteria
Description: partial 16S ribosomal RNA
Rfam family: Bacterial small subunit ribosomal RNA
Source: RNAcentral
UACGUAGGUGGCGAGCGUUAUCCGGAAUGAUUGGGCGUAAAGGGUGCGUAGGCGGCCUGCUAAGUCUGGAGUGAAAGGUACCGGCUCAACCGGUACAGGCUCUGGAAACUGGCGGGCUAGAGAGCAGGAGAGGGCGGUGGAACUCCAUGUGUAGCGGUAAAAUGCGUAGAUAUAUGGAAGAACACCAGUGGCGAAGGCGGCCGCCUGGCCUGUUACUGACGCUGAGGCACGAAAGCGUGGGGAGCAAAUAG